AUUGCAUUUUUAACCAGGUUUUCCGAAGGAAAAAACUGGUUAUUAGAUUGGCGAAUGCGGGCGGGCUGGCUGGCUGGCGGGCUGGCUGGCGGGCUGGCGGAAUAAGCUUGUCCAGGCCAUAACUAUGUCGUUCAUUGUCAGAUUUUAAAAUCAUUUGGCACAUUUGUUCACCAUCAUUGGACGGUGUGUCGCGCGAAAUAAUUACGUCGAUAUCUCCAAGGUCAAGGUCACACUUUGAGUUCAAAGGUCAAAAAUGGCCAUAAAUGAGCUUGUCCUGGCCAUAACUAUGUCAUUCAUUGUGAGAUUUUAAAAUCAUUUGGCACAUUUGUUCACCAUCAUGGGACGGUGUGUCCCACGAAAGAAUCACGUCAAUAUCUCCAAUGUCAAGGUCGCCACGACUAAAAAUAGAUUUAAAAAAAAAAAAAAAAACUUACAAAGGGGGUUAAUUUUUUUUGGUCAUUUCAAAA
This is a long non-coding RNA of Dreissena polymorpha, 467 nucleotides long. RefSeq lists it as uncharacterized. Lineage: Eukaryota; Metazoa; Mollusca; Bivalvia; Myida; Dreissenidae. The transcript has 2 exons. The record is from RefSeq and is a predicted model, not a curated record.